GACAGAGGGUGCAAACGUUGUUCGGAAUUACUGGGCGUAAAGCGCGUGUAGGCGGCUAAGUAAGUCGGGCGUGAAAUCCCACGGCUCAACCGUGGAAGUGCACUCGAAACUGCAUAGCUAGAGUCCUGGAGAGGAAGGUGGAAUGCUUGGUGUAGAGGUGAAAUUCGUAGAGAUCAGGUGGAACACCGGAGGCGAAGGCGCCUGCCUGGCAGUGUAUUGACGCUGAGGUGCGAAAGUGCGGGGAGCAAACAGG
RNAcentral lists this ribosomal RNA (253 nucleotides) under uncultured bacterium. Its description in RNAcentral is "partial 16S ribosomal RNA". It matches the Rfam family "Bacterial small subunit ribosomal RNA", at positions 524 to 776 of the family's 1533-position model. The record is from RNAcentral.